AUUGAACGCUGGCGGCAGGCCUAACACAUGCAAGUCGAACGGUAACAGGAAGCAGCUUGCUGCUUCGCUGACGAGUGGCGGACGGGUGAGUAAUGUCUGGGAAGCUGCCUGAUGGAGGGGGAUAACUACUGGAAACGGUAGCUAAUACCGCAUAAUGUCGCAAGACCAAAGAGGGGGACCUUCGGGCCUCUUGCCAUCGGAUGUGCCCAGAUGGGAUUAGCUUGUUGGUGGGGUAACGUCUCACCAAGGCGACGAUCCCUAGCUGGUCUGAGAGGAUGACCGGCCACACUAGAACUGAGACACGGUCCAGACUCCUACGGGAGGCAGCAGUGGGGAAUAUUGCACAAUAGGCGCAAGCCUGAUGCAGCCAUGCCGCGUGUAUGAAGAAGGCCUUCGGGUUGUAAAGUACUUUCAGCGGGGAGGAAGGGAGUAAAGUUAAUACCUUUGCUCAUUGACGUUACCCGCAGAAGAAGCACCGGCUAACUCCGUG
Molecule: ribosomal RNA, 490 nt
Filed under: uncultured bacterium
Lineage: Bacteria
Description: partial 16S ribosomal RNA
Rfam family: Bacterial small subunit ribosomal RNA
Source: RNAcentral